Molecule: small nuclear RNA, 135 nt
Organism: Panthera pardus (leopard)
Lineage: Eukaryota; Metazoa; Chordata; Mammalia; Carnivora; Felidae
Source: Ensembl
GUGAUUGAAUAUUUGCAUGUUAAGAAUGAGAUGGAGGGGGGCAGCACAGACACUAAAAUUGGAACGAUGCAGAGAAGGUUAGCACGACCCCUGAACAAGGAUAACAUGCAAAUUCAUGAAGCUUCCUCAUUUUUA